GACGAACGCUGGCGGCGUGCUUAACACAUGCAAGUCGAACGGAAAGGCCCUGCUUUUGUGGGGUGCUCGAGUGGCGAACGGGUGAGUAACACGUGAGUAACCUGCCCUUGACUUUGGGAUAACUUCAGGAAACUGGGGCUAAUACCGGAUAGGAGCUCCUGCUGCAUGGUGGGGGUUGGAAAGUUUCGGCGGUUGGGGAUGGACUCGCGGCUUAUCAGCUUGUUGGUGGGGUAGUGGCUUACCAAGGCUUUGACGGGUAGCCGGCCUGAGAGGGUGACCGGCCACAUUGGGACUGAGAUACAGCCCAGACUCCUACGGGAGGCAGCAGUGGGGAAUAUUGCACAAUGGGCGGAAGCCUGAUGCAGCAACGCCGCGUGCGGGAUGACGGCCUUCGGGUCGUAAACCGCUUUCGCCUGUGACGAAGCGUGAGUGACGGUAAUGGGUAAAGAAGCACCGGCUAACUACGUG
RNAcentral lists this ribosomal RNA (468 nucleotides) under uncultured bacterium. RNAcentral describes it as "partial 16S ribosomal RNA". It matches the Rfam family "Bacterial small subunit ribosomal RNA", at positions 28 to 507 of the family's 1533-position model. The record is from RNAcentral.